Balaenoptera ricei (Rice's whale) is the source of this 260-nucleotide long non-coding RNA. RefSeq lists it as uncharacterized. The record is from RefSeq and is a predicted model, not a curated record. Lineage: Eukaryota; Metazoa; Chordata; Mammalia; Artiodactyla; Balaenopteridae. The transcript is spliced from 3 exons.
ACUCUAGGGCUGAAGUGAGGAGUAAAUGAAUUAGCACAUGAAAGGAGCUCAGAACAGCGUUUGGCACCUAGUCAGGCUCAUCAAAUCUGCAGAAGGAAGUGGGAAAGAUGGAUCCAACGCUGGCCCAGCUGCGUAGGAGGGCAGUAGCUCUACGUGUGAACUCCAGAUGCUUGUACUUUGGUGACAUCACUGGGAACCAUGUGAAAUAGGUAUUAACCUGCUUUUGCAAAUGAAGAAUCGGAGCCUGAAGGAAGAUUAGU